UACGUAGGGUGCAAGCGUUAAUCGGAAUUACCGGGCGUAAAGCGUGCGCAGGCGGUUAUGUAAGACAGUUGUGAAAUCCCCGGGCUCAACCUGGGAACUGCAUCUGUGACUGCAUAGCUAGAGUACGGUAGAGGGGGAUGGAAUUCCGCGUGUAGCAGUGAAAUGCGUAGAUAUGCGGAGGAACACCGAUGGCGAAGGCAAUCCCCUGGACCUGUACUGACGCUCAUGCACGAAAGCGUGGGGAGCAAACAGG
Molecule: ribosomal RNA, 253 nt
Filed under: uncultured bacterium
Lineage: Bacteria
Description: partial 16S ribosomal RNA
Rfam family: Bacterial small subunit ribosomal RNA
Source: RNAcentral